UGGGGGAUAUUGCACAAUGGAGGAAACUCUGAUGCAGCAACGCCGCGUGAAGGAUGAAGGUCUUCGGAUUGUAAACUUUGUACUUGGGGACGAUAAUGACGGUACCCAAGCAGCAAGCUCCGGCUAACUACGUGCCAGCAGCCGCGGUAAUACGUAGGGAGCAAGCGUUGUCCGGAUUUACUGGGUGUAAAGGGUGCGUAGGCGGCUAUGCAAGUCAGUUGUGAAAACUAUGGGCUCAACCCAUAGCCUGCAAUUGAAACUGCGUGGCUUGAGUGAAGUAGAGGUAGGUGGAAUUCCCGGUGUAGCGGUGAAAUGCGUAGAGAUCGGGAGGAACACCAGUGGCGAAGGCGACCUACUGGGCUUUAACUGACGCUGAGGCACGAAAGCAUGGGUAGCAAACAGGAUUAGAUACCCUGGUAGUCCAUGCCGUAAACGAUGAUUACUAGGUGUGGGGGUCUGACCCCCUCCGUGCCGGAGUUAAGCACAAUAAGUAAUCCCACCUGGGGGAGUACGACCGCAAGGUU
RNAcentral lists this ribosomal RNA (524 nucleotides) under uncultured bacterium. RNAcentral's name for it is "partial 16S ribosomal RNA". It matches the Rfam family "Bacterial small subunit ribosomal RNA", at positions 355 to 895 of the family's 1533-position model. The record is from RNAcentral.